UACGGAGGGAGCUAGCGUUGUUCGGAAUUACUGGGCGUAAAGCGCACGUAGGCGGUUACUCAAGUCAGAGGUGAAAGGCCGGGGCUCAACUCCGGGACUGCCUUUGAAACUAGGUAACUAGAAUCUUGGAGAGGCGGGUGGAAUUCCGAGUGUAGAGGUGAAAUUCGUAGAUAUUCGGAAGAACACCAGUGGCGAAGGCGACUCGCUGGACAAGUAUUGACGCUGAGGUGCGAAAGCGUGGGGAGCAAACAGG
This 253-nucleotide ribosomal RNA is filed under the name uncultured bacterium. Its description in RNAcentral is "partial 16S ribosomal RNA". It matches the Rfam family "Bacterial small subunit ribosomal RNA", at positions 524 to 776 of the family's 1533-position model. The record is from RNAcentral.